RNAcentral lists this ribosomal RNA (459 nucleotides) under uncultured bacterium. RNAcentral's name for it is "partial 16S ribosomal RNA". It matches the Rfam family "Bacterial small subunit ribosomal RNA", at positions 338 to 795 of the family's 1533-position model. The record is from RNAcentral.
CCUACGGGAGGCAGCAGUGAGGAAUAUUGGUCAAUGGGCGCGAGCCUGAACCAGCCAAGUCGCGUGAGGGAAGACGGUCCUAUGGAUUGUAAACCUCUUUUGUCGGGGAGCAAAAGACGCCACGCGUGGCGUUCCGAGAGUACCCGAAGAAAAAGCAUCGGCUAACUCCGUGCCAGCAGCCGCGGGAAUACGGAGGAUGCGAGCGGUAUCCGGAUUUAUUGGGUUAAAAGGGUGCGCAGGCGGAAGAUCAAGGCAGCGGUAAAAUUGAGAGGCUCAACCUCUUCGAGCCGUUGAAACUGGUUUGCUUGAGUGAGUGAGAAGUAUGCGGAAUGCGUGGUGUAGCGGUGAAAUGCAUAGAUAUCACGCAGAACUCCGAUUGCGAAGGCAGCAUACCGGCGCUCAACUGACGCUCAUGCACGAAAGUGUGGGUAUCGAACAGGAUUAGAUACCCCAGUAGUC